UAGACUCAUCUAAUCGGGUUUCCGACCAUGAUGAUUUGGACGUCUGCCAUUUUUACCCUGGCUCGUCUUAAAUGUCUUUGUGGAAUUGGCGUAAUAAGUUUAUCGCUUUUUGUCCACUCUAAUAUCAUUUAAGCU
This 135-nucleotide unclassified non-coding RNA is filed under the name uncultured Basidiomycota. RNAcentral describes it as "sequence contains ITS2". The record is from RNAcentral. Lineage: Eukaryota; Fungi; Basidiomycota.